UUGAACGCUGGCGGCAGGCCUAACACAUGCAAGUCGAGCGGAUGAAGGGAGCUUGCUCCUGGAUUCAGCGGCGGACGGGUGAGUAAUGCCUAGGAAUCUGCCUGGUAGUGGGGGAUAACGUCCGGAAACGGGCGCUAAUACCGCAUACGUCUUGAGGGAGAAAGUGGGGGAUCUUCGGACCUCACGCUAUCAGAUGAGCCUAGGUCGGAUUAGCUAGUUGGUGGGGUAAAGGCCUACCAAGGCGACGAUCCGUAACUGGUCUGAGAGGAUGAUCAGUCACACUGGAACUGGGACACGGUCCAGACUCCUACGGGAGGCAGCAGUGGGGAAUAUUGGACAAUGGGCGAAAGCCUGAUCCAGCCAUGCCGCGUGUGUGAAGAAGGUCUUCGGAUUGUAAAGCACUUUAAGUUGGGAGGAAGGGCGGUAAGUUAAUACCUUGCUGUUUUGACGUUACCAACAGAAUAAGCACCGGCUAACUUCGUG
RNAcentral lists this ribosomal RNA (483 nucleotides) under uncultured bacterium. RNAcentral's name for it is "partial 16S ribosomal RNA". It matches the Rfam family "Bacterial small subunit ribosomal RNA", at positions 30 to 507 of the family's 1533-position model. The record is from RNAcentral.